GUGGCAGUAUACAGAACAUUAGCUGUAACAUCUACAGCACUCGCCAAUAAAACAAGUAGUAGAAGAAGAACAACAACAACAUCCCGAGGAUGGAGGAAUGUGAGAGAGAUGGCGUUGGAGUACCUGCAAAAAAAAAAGGCGAAAACUUUGUGGAAAUAUCUAAACAAAUGCGAGGAGGUUUACCCGUACUUAACCAAGAGUCAUGCUUUUUGUAAAUUAUGCUACACAGAUUUUAGUGUAUCACACGGAGGGAAAAGUGAUGUGAGCAUGUGGACAUGACAAAUCUGCAAAGCACAGAAACAUGCCCAGCUAAUUACUUCAUUUGUGACUACAAACAUUCAAGUGACAAGAGCAGAGGUGAAAAUGUCAAAACAGCUUUGCGCCAAAAAUAAUGUGGCCUUAAGUUUUUGCGAUGAUUUCAACCGUAGUGUAGCAGACAUGUUCCCUGACUCCAUCGCUCGGAGAUACUCAGCGGGAAAAACGAAAGCCACGCAACUCAUCAAAGGUGCCGUAGCUGUGGAGCUUGAUGAAGGACAUAGCAAGGAUAUGUAGACCUCAUGCCAGAGUUCGUGAUCUGGCAAGCCAUCUCCGUGAUCCAGUUAUGAAGGCAUACUUUAUGUUCCUGAGUGUUGCCCUUAAGCCUUUAGCUGAAUUUAAUAUUGCCUUUCAGUCAGAGGGAGUACAGAUUCACAGGCUUGAAGAGGCGGUUUUUGGGCUACCUCAUACCAGCCAGGGCCAUCUUGGAUGUCCCUCUCAGGGAGGUGAACUAAGGACAGGGACAUCAGUUGGAAGAUGAAGACCUCUUCAUUGGAGCAGAGACAAAGGCAUUCAUCAGAAAUGCAGCUUCCUGUUUCAUCCAAGAAAACAAUCUUUCAAACUGUGAGAACUUUCUAUGAAGCAGUUCUGAGAAAGAUGUUCAACUGCUUUCCGCUCGACUCCCAACUCCCGAAGGACCUGAGAGCGCUGGACCCUGCAUCUCGGCUUGAUAUCACUCCAGGGACAGUUAGUGAUUAGGGACAGUUUACAAUUAACAUGUUAUAUGAAGUAUUGCAUGGUUUACAUAAAUCAGCAGUGUUCAGUUAGCAGCACUAUUGUUUUAUUUUACAGUGACAAGGCUAGUAGCCCUGUUCUCUCAGUUGAGCUUGAAUGAGGAUAGGCUGAGGGAGGAAUUCAUUGACUACCAGGAGACAGAUAGCAAACAUCUCCCCCAAGAUUGGGUUGGAUUUCCCUUAUUUUCAAAUCCCCAUGUUGACAGGUAUGUGGUCCUGGAGAAACCCCUGUCCAGGGCCGGCCCUACCUAAUAAGGGGGUGCAUAGGGCCCACAUGGCCACCAGGGGGCCCCAUGCCCUGGGUUCAGACAGGAAGGGAGAAAGUCUAAAGUUUUUAAUCAUGAGCAAUGAAGUUUAGGCUUUAUCCAUUAGAGGAAGUGGAAAUUGAAAGAUCAGGGAGCUUUAUUGUUAUGACAAUGAGUGUUAAAUUUGCAUUGCCAAAGCUUUUAUAUAUAUAU
Molecule: long non-coding RNA, 1507 nt
Organism: Pangasianodon hypophthalmus (striped catfish)
Lineage: Eukaryota; Metazoa; Chordata; Actinopteri; Siluriformes; Pangasiidae
Exons: 4
Source: RefSeq, a predicted model, not a curated record